CAAUAGCGUAUAUUAAAGUUGUUGCAGUUAAAAAGCUCGUAGUUGAACCUUGGGGUCUGGCUGGCCGGUCCGCCUCACCGCGAGUACUGGUCCGGCUGGACCUUUCCUUCUGGGAGCAUCAUGCCUUGCACUGGCUGUGGGAGGACCGAGACUUUACUGUUAAAAAUUAAGAGUGUUCAAAGCAGGCCUUUGCUCGAAUACAUUAGCAUGGAAUAAUAGAAUAGGACGUGUGGUUCUAUUUUGUUGGUUUCUAGGACCGCCGUAAUGAUUAAUAGGGAUAGUCGGGGGGCGUCAGUAUUCAGCUGUCAGAGGUGAAAUUCUUGGAUUUGCUGAAGACUAACUACUGCGAAAGCAUUCGCCAAGGAUGUUUUCAUUAAUCAGGGAACGAAAGUUAGGGGAGUCGAAGACGAUUAGAUACCA
Molecule: ribosomal RNA, 420 nt
Filed under: uncultured eukaryote
Lineage: Eukaryota
Description: SSU rRNA
Rfam family: Eukaryotic small subunit ribosomal RNA
Source: RNAcentral